GGCCGGGUAGCUCAGUAGGUAAGAGCACUCGCCCUGUAAGCGAGGGGUCCCGGGUUUGAUUCCUGGUCUGGUCG
This is a non-coding RNA of Lingula anatina, 74 nucleotides long. The record is from Rfam. Lineage: Eukaryota; Metazoa; Brachiopoda; Lingulata; Lingulida; Lingulidae.